AGAGUUUGAUCAUGGCUCAGAAUCAACGCUGGCGGCGUGCCUCAGACAUGCAAGUCGAACGCGAAAGCCUCCUUCGGGGGGCAAGUAGAGUGGCGCACGGGUGAGUAACACGUAGGUAAUCUACCUUUGGAUUGGGAAUAACAACCGGAAACGGUUGCUAAUACCGCAUAAUGCAGCGGCACCUAAUGGUGACAGUUGUUAAAGCGGGGGAUUUUAGGACCUCGCGCCUGAAGAGGAGCCUGCGGCAGAUUAGCUAGUUGGUAAGGUAACGGCUUACCAAGGCAACGAUCUGUAACCGGCCUGAGAGGGCGGUCGGUCACACUGACACUGACAUACGGGUCAGACUCCUACGGGAGGCAGCAGUCGGGAAUUUUGGGCAAUGGGCGAAAGCCUGACCCAGCAACGCCGCGUGAAGGAUGAAAUCCCUCGGGAUGUAAACUUCGCAAGAAUGGGAAGAAUUAGUAGGGGUUAAUACCCCCUAUGAUGACGGUACCAUUUGUAAGCUCCGGCUACUCCGUGCUAGCAGCCGCGGUAAUAC
Molecule: ribosomal RNA, 538 nt
Filed under: uncultured bacterium
Lineage: Bacteria
Description: bacterial SSU rRNA
Rfam family: Bacterial small subunit ribosomal RNA
Source: RNAcentral